This 857-nucleotide ribosomal RNA is filed under the name uncultured bacterium. RNAcentral's name for it is "bacterial SSU rRNA". It matches the Rfam family "Bacterial small subunit ribosomal RNA", at positions 1 to 827 of the family's 1533-position model. The record is from RNAcentral.
CGGAGAGUUUGAUCCUGGCUCAGGACGAACGCUGGCGGCGUGCCUAAUACAUGCAAGUCGAACGAACUCUGGUAUUGAUUGGUGCUUGCAUCAUGAUUUACAUUUGAGUGAGUGGCGAACUGGUGAGUAACACGUGGGAAACCUGCCCAGAAGCGGGGGAUAACACCUGGAAACAGAUGCUAAUACCGCAUAACAACUUGGACCGCAUGGUCCGAGUUUGAAAGAUGGCUUCGGCUAUCACUUUUGGAUGGUCCCGCGGCGUAUUAGCUAGAUGGUGGGGUAACGGCUCACCAUGGCAAUGAUACGUAGCCGACCUGAGAGGGUAAUCGGCCACAUUGGGACUGAGACACGGCCCAAACUCCUACGGGAGGCAGCAGUAGGGAAUCUUCCACAAUGGACGAAAGUCUGAUGGAGCAACGCCGCGUGAGUGAAGAAGGGUUUCGGCUCGUAAAACUCUGUUGUUGAAGAAGAACAUAUCUGAGAGUAACUGUUCAGGUAUUGACGGUAUUUAACCAGAAAGCCACGGCUAAAUACGUGCCAGCAGCCGCGGUAAUACGUAUGUUCCAAGCGUUAUCCAGAUUUAUUGGGCGUAAAGCGAGCGCAGACGGUUAUUUAAGUCUGAAGUGAAAGCCCUCAGCUCAACUGAGGAAUUGCUUUGGAAACUGGAUGACUUGAGUGCAGUAGAGGAAAGUGGAACUCCAUGUGUAGCGGUGAAAUGCGUAGAUAUAUGGAAGAACACCAGUGGCGAAGGCGGCUUUCUGGACUGUAACUGACGUUGAGGCUCGAAAGUGUGGGUAGCAAACAGGAUUAGAUACCCUGGUAGUCCACACCGUAAACGAUGAGUGCUAGGUGUUUGA